CCAAAAUGCACACACUUACACGUUAUCCCAGAACUCCCAGCAAAGAAGGAUAAGCUUUUGCAAGCACAAAGUCUCCGGUUGUCAUUCCAGGGCUGCUGUGCCAUAGCUACAUUUAGAAAGUUGCAGGAGAAAAUAAACUGAUUAACAAGCAGCGAAACCUGCAAAUUAUGCCUCACUUAGGCUUAGAUUCAAGAAAACCCAGACCAAGCUUGGGAUUCUAAGAGUCUCUCCGUGCAAGCUGACCUCAUGGAGAAAGUGGCAGAGCUUGUCCCUUCCACUGGGAGACCCUGGAGUUCAUUCAGGAGACUGGAUGCCCCUGGGCUCGGGCUGCACUGUGGACCCCACUGUGGAAUCACCACUCCCAGGCUGACCUCAGGCAGGUUCCAGAUCUGUUCUCCACUUCUGCAACAAAACUUACCCGGGCCAUGGUUUUAUGCAGAAAUCUGACAAGGCAGGUCCAUCAAGAGGUUUCCAGAAGAAGGCAUCGCUAUCACAGGAGAUGGCAGCUCCAUGCCUGUUACUGCCCCUGAAGAUGUUCCAGUGGGACAGGGUGUGGAGGUGGAAGACAGCAACAGUGACGAUCCUGACCCUAAAUUGACCAGAUUGCUUUGAGGAACUAAGAAGCUGUUAAACCUUUGGAAGAACUGGCCUGAUACGUUGUCUACAUGGUUCUCCUACAAGGUGUAUGAGUCCAUUUUUAUGCUGCUGAUAAAGACAUACCUGCAACUAAGAGGAAAAAGUUGUUUAACUGGACUUACAGUUCCACAUGGCUGGGAAGGCCUCAGAAUCAUGGCAGGAGGCGAAAGGCACUUCUUACAUGGUGGCACCAAGGGAAAAUGAGGAUGAUGAAAAAGUGAAAACCCCUGAAAAAAUCAGAUUUUGUGAGACUUAUUCACUACCACGAGAACAGUCUGGGGGAAACCGCUCCCAUGAUUCAAAUUAUCUCCCACCCGGUCCCUGCCCCCGCAACCCCCCCACAACAUAUGAGAAUUACGGGAGUACAAUUCAAGAAGAUUUAGGUGGGGACACAAAGCCAAACCAUAUUACAAGGUUUAUAGCCUUGCAGUAAGUAAAGAAUACCAUUUUCUGACAAGCCCAGGAACUUCAGGAUAUUUUGGGGACCUCAAAAAAGAGGGAUUUACCCAAUUCAUACAAGUAUUACAGGCAAAAUCUGAUGGUGAAUUGCUGGCCUGGCUUCCAAUCUUAAGAGGCUUUUAAAGAUUGAACCUGAAAUUCCUUAUAAAAAAAGUUUCAGUCAAGUCAAUUUAAAAAGUGCUCAGAUGGCCAAGUACAAUUCUGGCUGUACUUUAGUCAAAUACUCAGGCCAAGUAUAACAAGUCUAAGACUUUAUUUUGCAAAUAAAUUGGUCCUACUGUAAACCAAAAAGUGUCUGAGACAAGUUUCAGUCCAUUUAGAAAGUUUAUUUUGCCAAGGUUAAGGACAUACCAGUGACACAGCCUCGGGAGAUCUUGACAACAUGUGCCUAAGGUGGUUGGGGCACAGCUUGGUUUUCUACAUUUUAGGGAGACAUGAGACUCAAUCAUUAUAUGCACGAUGUACAUUGGUUUGGUCCAGAAAAGAGGGACAACUUAAAACCAAAAGAGGGCUUCCAGGUCAGAGGUAGAUAAGAGACAAAUGGUUGCAUUCUUUUGAGUUUCUGAUUAGGCUUUCACUGAAUACACAAUUUACAGAAAUAGUCGCUUAUGCCUUAGUCUGGCUUAGUAAAGCAACAGAACAAAGGAAGCACUCAGAUGCGCGUGUCCCAUGUGAGCAGAGGGAUAACUUUGACAUCUGUUUGUGCUUUGUCUAAAGGAAUUUUUCUUCGUGGGAAAAUUGUAAGGGAGGUAUGUAGCUUUUCAAAAUUUUUGUAGCUAUCUUAUUUAGGAGUAGACUACAUAGACUGGGAAGCAGGUUUGCAUGACAAGUUUCCCAGCUUGAAUUUCCCUUUGGCGUAGUGAUUUUGGGGUCCCUAGAUUUAUUUUUCUUCCAUAUUUACUUUUUCUUUGCUUAAAUUUAUCUUUGCCUAAAUUAAUUGUGGGACGGGAAAGGGAAAAUUUAUGUUUCAGAAGAAAACUAUGGUACACUUAUUAGUUUCUAGCUCUGAUCUUUUUUUUUUUUUUCAGUUUUGCUAUUUGCCCACAAUUUAAACUAAAUCCUAUUUUUUUUUCUGGUUACAGGCUUUCAGACAAAUUUUUCUCCUAUUUUUUAAGCUCACUGAAAUUGAUAAUACCUUUUUACCGAGGCCUUGCAAGCUGAAGUUUAUGCAUAAAUAACCUUGUGACAUACAAAUUACAGAUCACAAAAUCUGUCAGAUCGCCAAUGCCUCCUUCCACAGUAACUAAAGAUGCCUCUAGUUGAACAGCUGGAUACCUCAACUGACUGCUCUCCAGACUCUAAAGAAAUCCGUUUAUAGACUGCUCCAAAUAUUAACCUUUGUUUUUCUGCUGUUUGGGAGCCCAUCUGCAACGCCAUUUCCUGAAAUGAGACACAGCUGUUUAAUUGGACUGGUCUACUCGUAGAAAUAGAACACCAGUUUAAUGAUAAUUUUUGCUACUCAGCUAUUAACUCAAAUAUUAUCUUCACACCCAACAACUUAGAUUUUAGUGUGUGAAACUUUGAGGGACAUUUUAGACAGAGGACUUUUGGGGUGCAGAAGUGGUUCCCUGAUAUAUGACACCUGGGCAUGGUGAGUGCUUUUAAACAUUAAAAGACCUCAUAAAUAAGCCUCAGAAUCAUGGUCCCCCUAAAACUGUCUUGGGGCAGGAAGGGACUCUCUCUCUGUAAUUUCCUUAUCUGACUAAGAAAUCUUCUUCCCAAAAAACCACAAUUGCCAUCUAGCCCAUUCCUGAAAUCUCAUUUCAGACAGAAAUGUUACCAUAUCUGGAUGGUCUCUUUCACAAGAUAAUGCCUGCCUCUUGGGGUCAUUCAAAUUCCAAAAAGUAUUAUUUACAAGUUAAUUUCUGUCUCUAAAUUCCACACCUUUUCUUCCUAAUAAUCAUUUACUGCUCCUGAAUAGCAUUGUCUGCAUUCCUCAUCUCCUCCCUCCUUUGUGAAAAAGGGUUUAUAAGCCUCUGUCCCCACUGGGGGUUAGGGUAAUCACUCUGUGAUUCUCUCCAGUGCAUGUUAAAAAUGUGUAUACCUCUUCUCCAAUUAAUCUGUCUUCUGCCAGUCAAUUUUCAGCAAACCUUCAGAGGGCAAAGUAGAUGUUUCCCUUGGCCCCUGUACCCCUUAGGAGCCCUGAAACACUUAUUUUUCCAUAUUAUGCUCUUUAUAUUAAUUUGCUAAUUUACUGAACACAUAUUUUUCAAGCAACUCCUCAUUUGCUGGGCACCUUUCUGGGUGCUGGGACAUAAAGAGACGUGGAGAGAGUUGCCUUGUGAUACAGGAGGUAGAAAGAAAUUAUUUAGGCAGAUAGUGAGGGUAAAAGAGUCUUUGACAGAGCUUCCCUUUUAACAAAAAGCAGCCCAAGAAAUUAUUUUUUUUUCUAACAAAGGGCAGCCUGAAAAGUUGAGCUGCAAACAUAGACAAGCAAGCUGGAAGCUUGCAUGGGAAAUGCCAGCAGCUGUGCCAAUAGAAAAUGGCUACCUGGGGGUCAGGCACGUCCAACGUUGAGGCUCCAUCUUCCCUUUUUUUGUCACUGUGUGUACAGUAAAGGAAUGGGCAACAUGGUGCUGCCACAGCAGAGGACCUGCCUGCUUAAUGAGUGAUUAGGAUGGGGGUGGCCAAAAAUUCGCACCCUAUGCAAAUGGCACACCUAGUCCUAACCAGUUUUUCACACCCCAUGCAAAUGGCACACCUGGUCCAGCCAAUCUUUUGUGCUCUAUGUAAGUCAAAUACCACCCCCUCACCAGACAUCUAUAAAACCUCCUACAUUUCACCACGGCUCCAGCAGCUCAUUUCUUCGGGACCCUUCUCUGCUGCAGGGAGCCGUCCUCCUCCUUUCACCUGUUAAACAUCCACUCUCAACCUCACUCUUCGUGUGUCUGUACCCUUUAGUUUCUCAGCCAUGAGACAGUGAUUUCCAGGGUAUCGCCCCAGACAAUGAGGCCGUUUCACUUGCACACUCACUUGCACACUCGAUUUGUCCCACUCUAGGCCCCCUACUAGGUACCUUGGGUAAGUAAUACAGCAUAUUUUUAUCCUAUGUUUUCUUAAAAUAAGUAAUGGGGAUACUAGAAGCUACAAUCUCAGUCAUGCCAACAAUUAUGGAAUCCAUGGGAAGCACUUGUUACGGACUUAGACCUGGUGAGCGUCUGUAUUUUUUCUGUGGCUGUUGUAACAAAUUACUACCAACGUGGUGGUUUAAAACAAUUCCCACAGUAGAGCUGGCCUGAGUUCCAAGCACCUUCACGGGGCUAAAAUUGAGGUAUUUGGGGAGAGCUGCACUCCUUCUGGAGGCUUUGGGGAGCACCGGCCCUUGGCUCUCCUGACUUCAGGUGGCUGCCAGCACUCGGCUGCAGCUGCCUCACUGCAAUCUGUGCCUCUGUAGUCGUGCCGGGGCCAAGGCAACACGUCCCCUUCACCCUCUGAAGGCUUGCUGGUAAAUAAACUGACAAAAGGCAGAUUAAUUGGAGGAAAGGCAUGAACAUUUAUUAAUAGGUGCUUGGGGGAGAGCCACAGAGUGAUUGUCCCAUAUUCAAUGGGGCCCAGAUACUUGUAUAGCCCUAUUUCAGAGGGGAAGAGGAGAUGGGAAUGUAGGUAAUUACAGGGUGAUACAUGAUUAAAGAAGAGAAUAAAUAGAUCAGGGAACAGGGAUUCACUUGUAAAUGAUGCUCUUUGAAAAUUGACUGAGACUGAGAGACAGACAUUAUCUUGUGAAAGUCUGUCCUGGAGUGGUUACACUCUUGGUCCUGUUUUCUGUAAUAGAUAAUGAGCUAACAGAGAGAGGAAGGAAAGACAGUUGUUCUCCUUGGAUACUCCCUCUGGUCUCUAUGUAGACAGAGAAAAUUCUCCUCCAGCCUCUGUUGAUCUCUGAAGGUCUUUAAUUAAAAAUGCACAUUACAUCAGGGACCACUAUUUUGGGGUGAAGUUCUCUGCACUCCUUCAGUUUCACAUCUUCUGCCAGUUAAGCCACCCUCUGUCUCUCUCUUACAGUAGCACUUGUGAUUCCAUUUAAGGUACACCUCGAUAAUCAGAGCUAUUGCUCCACCACAGAAUCCUUAAACACAUUCCCAAAGACCCUUUCUCUACAUCGGGGAACAACUACACAUUCCAGAGAUUAGGACCUGAUACCUGUGUAAGCUAUUAUUUAGCUCACCACUACAUUUGAUAUAUACCUGUCCCUGGCCCCCAAUCAUUAGAUUAUAAAGAAGGGCUGUCCAAUUGUCAUCUGUCUUCACUGUGGUGCCAACCCUGGAGCUCCCUUGUUAAUACCUAUAUAAUCCUGAGCCCCAACAUGGUUUCAUCUACGCAGAGUAGGGCAGACCUCACCACGUGGGCCAUGGGGCAUUGACCUACUCUGUUUAUCGGUGAUCAGUUCUCUUCCCAUGAUCUGGCCUAAAGUUUCUGGAAAACAGUUUCUAUGCAUAAUUAUCCCAGGUGGAUAUUCCAGAGCUAUAAAAUGCAGAGAUCCUGUCCUGGCCCUGUGUCUAAGCUAGAGAAACAUUUAUUUCAGGUUAUUCUGAGGCUUGAUGGGAAUGACCCUGGUUCCUGGUCUAACCUAAUAGUAAACAUGUUCCCACAGCCAGGUUCUGAGUACUCCAUGGGGCCUGAGCUAACCUCAGUUUUGGGGGACUGUUCUACUUUGUGAAUCACUUUACCAGGCACACAGGCUCUGAAGUUCUUUUCUUCCCUCUUCUUUCCCUCUCUUCCUCAUUCUCCCUCUCCUCUCUCACUCCAUUGAUCUUUUUCUAUUCCUCAACUCCCCAUUUGCUGUCAUCUACUUUGAUUUCCUCAUUCUCCCUCAUGUCUAUAUAUCCAUAUACAGCUUAACUCCCCCCCUCCAUCUCAUCUGAUUCCUCUGUUGAUGAAAAAGCCAAACUCUGAAAAAUAUUUAGAGAUUUAUUCUUAACCAAUAUGAGUGACCAUGGUCAAGGGAACAGUCUUAGAAGGUCUGGAGAAAGUGAGGUGGUUGGAUUACAGCUUGGUUUAUACUUUUUGUGGAGACAAAAGUUACAGACAAAGACAUAAAUCAAUACAUGUGUCAGAGGUGUUUGAACCAGAGAGACUCCAUCUGAAUAGGGGCAUGGUAAAAUAAGAGUGAGACCUACUGGGCUGCAUUCCCAGGAGGUUAGGUAUUCUUAACUUCACAAGAUGAGAUAGGAGGUUGGCCGGAGAUGCAGGUCAUACAGACCUUGCUGAUAACACAGGUUGCAGUAAAGAAGCUGGUGAAAACCCCCGAAAACCAAGAUGGCAACGAGAGUGAUCUCUGGUCUUCACUGCUACACUCCCACUAGCACCAGGACAGUUUACAAAUGCCAUGGCAAUAUCAGGAAGUUACCCUAUAUGGCCUAAAAUGGGAGUCACGAAUAAUCCACCCCUUGUUUAAUAUAUCAUCAAGAAAUAACCAUAAAAAUGGGCAACCAGCAGCCCUCGAAGCUGCUCUGCCUAUGAUGUAGCUAUUCUUUAUUCCUUUGCUUUCACUUUACUGUAUGGACGCACCCCGAAUUCUUUCUUGCACAACAUCCAAGAACCCUCCCUUGGAGUCUGGACCCUGACCUCUUUCCAGUAACACAUGUAAGGUAUACAUUGGUAGGCCCAAAGAUGUGAAAUAUUUCAAAGUGGGGACUUACAGGUAAUAGGUGAAUUCAAGGAUUUUCUGAUCAGCAUUUGGUUGAAAGAAUUUAGCUUUGUCUAAAGACAGUAGAAAGACAUGCUUGAGUUAAGAAAAGGAAGGUUGUGGAAGCCAAGGUUCUUGUUAUGUAGAUGAAGCCUCUAGGUAGUAUUCUUCUGAGAGAAUAGAUGGUCAAUGUCUCUUUUCAGAUUUUAAAUACAGUCCAACUCAAUUAAAUCUCCUCUAGACGUGGCAAAGACCUAGAAAGGGAAAGAGAUUCUAAAGAUGCAAAACUUUACCCCACAAAAGGCUUUGCAGGGCCAUUUCAAAAUAUAUCAGAUAAAUAUAUUUUGAAGUAAAGUGUGUCAGUUUCUUUCAGGGUCUGCUGUCGUGUGAUGCUAUACCAGAGUCAAGUUGGAAUUUGGCAUCUUACUGCCAAAGGGUCUGUUUCAUCCAUAUAAGGAUGUCUAUUUUAAUGUUAAUGCUGGUAAGUUUUGCCUAAACUCCAAAAAAAGAGGGGGUAUAAUGAGGCAUGUCUGACCUGUCUUCCUUCAUGGCCUGGAAUUCAGUUUUUUCGGUUUCUUUGUAAUUCCCUUGGCCCAGAGGGUGGACCCAUUCAUUCGGUCUGAUGGAGGGCUUAGAGAUUUUAUUUUUGGUUUACACCUCAGACUCGAUUCAAGUCAGCAAAUACUUUUAGCACAAAGUAUAUGCCAGAUAUUGUUUAAAGUGGGAUAAAGAACAGAUGGUAUGCCUGGCAUGGUCCUGAUCUGGAAGGACCUAACCUCUUCCUGCCUCUUCCUGGAACCUGUCUUUGCUUUUCAAAUGCCUGCCAGUCUCUGCCUAUCCUUUCCACUCUGUGUCCUGAUUUCUUGUGUUCUCCUCUCACUUUCUCUUGUGUUCUCUGUCCUCUCUCUUCCUUUUGUUCUAAAAUGGCAUCAAAAUCUUAUAAUAAAAAUCUAUCUCCCAUGUUACUUGAAUGACUCUCUACCAAUCUCAUUAUGUUUGUUAUAGAUGAAUAUAAUAUGAGUGAUUUUAAAAAUAUUAUUUUAUUAAAUAAAUUAUGAAAAAUACACAGCAAGGCCUGGGAUUGACAUGCUCAUUUUCAGCCUCAAUAUUAAAUCUCUAGACUGCACAAAUGAUUACACAUUGAACUAAAUGUAUGGUUUUAUCUUUUGUGCCUAUAAAGAAAAGUCUUUCAUAUUAUACAAUUUGUACCACUUUCUCUUUUUUUUGCACAUACACUUCUCCAGCUCCAUUGCCAAACCUCAGCUGUCAAUUCUGUUUAGUCCCGUUGAUGAAAAGAACCAAAUUCUAAAAUAUUUGAAGAGAUUCUUUCUGAACCAUAUAGGAGUGACCAUGGCCCAUGACACAGCCCUCAGGAGAUCUUGAGAACAUGUGCUCAAGGUGGUAGGGGUGUGGCUUGGUUUUAUGCAUUUUAGGGAGACAUGAGACUUCAAUCACAC
Molecule: long non-coding RNA, 8175 nt
Filed under: Homo sapiens (human)
Lineage: Eukaryota; Metazoa; Chordata; Mammalia; Primates; Hominidae
Description: HSALNT0183930
Source: RNAcentral